Long non-coding RNA from Rhinolophus ferrumequinum (greater horseshoe bat), 922 nucleotides. RefSeq lists it as uncharacterized. The transcript is spliced from 3 exons. Lineage: Eukaryota; Metazoa; Chordata; Mammalia; Chiroptera; Rhinolophidae. The record is from RefSeq and is a predicted model, not a curated record.
CGAAAAGGCAAGCCCCGCUCAUGGAAGCAGCUAGGGCUGCGGCCAGCUGGGAGGAGGGAGACAGGAGGCCAAAGGCAGGGAAGCCCAGCCGCUCCGCAUAAAGAGCCCUUGUGCUUCAAGCCCUGGCCCCCGGCACCACUGACGCAGCACCGCCCUCUGCAAACACUCUGACCUUCUACUUGCAGGUGCCAAAGAAUCCUGAAGGCGACGCAGAGAUUAAGUGCAGCUCUGGCCCAGUCCUCUCACUGAAUGAAAUCCGUGGAGACCUAAGGAAGCUUUAAUUCUGUAAAGGCUUCUGUUCGGGCUGAAUGCACAGUGCUGAGCCUAAGAUAAGAAAUGUGCAUAAAGGAUAAAUGUACGAUUGAACUGAGAAAAUAGCCACCACCAAGGCCAGCACUCCACGCGCCUCCCAACACGCUGACUUCUGGAAGCCACCCUCAUGCUGAUACUGGUGCCGACAUGGAGCUUCUCCUUGUAGCCGUAUCGUCUACGGAUGGUGAUGCCAUCACAUGGUACGCAUGCGUCAUGUGGACGAAAGCACAGUGCACUGUCCUUUCAUGUCUGCCUUUUCUGGGUCAGCGUCACAGUACUGGGUGUGGGGAGCUGUCCCUCUGCUCGUUUGCACUGCAGUCCUCAGGAACAAAGAGCACGGAUUUGCCCGUGUCACUGCUGAGGGACACUCGGGUGGUUCCCCUUCUGGUUUCUAAAUCGGGUCUACCAAUUUACACUCCCGCCGGCACCAGGGCGGGUGGGGUUCCUGCUCCUCCAUGUGCUUGCCAGCUCUUGGAACUGUUACAGAUUUUCAUUUGUGCAAAUCUGGUGCGCACAUAAUAAAAUCAUUUCCUCCUCUCAGUAAUGCUGCUCAAGCCUGUAACCCACUGUUCCACUGAACUGCCUGCUUCUUGCGAACUGUGCAAGUGCU